CCUGUUUGAGAUUACAAGUGCCUGAUCCCAAGAACAGCCCAAUCAACUGCUCUUGUUUUUAUACAGCUCCUGAUUAUUUCUCAGGCUUUCCAACUAAGGAGACUCCUGCUCAAGCAUCCUCAGUGUAUAGAGCAUUGGACUGUCUUUGUGCUUAUGCAUGGGAACAGCAAAGGCCUGUGGAAAUGUCCUUAUACUUCAAGAUGAUCAUUUUCCUAUCUGCAAGGAGGAAUGAUAGCUCAAAUAAUGUGCAUUUUUGAAACAAAACAAGAUGCAGUAUUCAUAAGUGCAUACCAUGAAAAUGGGGCAAAGCCUCUGGAUGACCUCGUACCAUUCAGCAGCUGUGCUUAAUCAGAGGCCAGACCGAGAGAGGCAGGGGAGGAUGUCAAGCCAUCCUGGGCUAGUGACCCUCCCUUGUCCUUGAGAACCAGAGGCAGAGAGGGUUUAUUGAGGGCGCUGCAGCUUUGAAAUACAAUAAAGCCUAAUUUAUAAAGGAAA
Peromyscus eremicus (cactus mouse) is the source of this 495-nucleotide long non-coding RNA. RefSeq lists it as uncharacterized. The transcript has 3 exons. The record is from RefSeq and is a predicted model, not a curated record. NCBI's taxonomy places the organism in Eukaryota, Metazoa, Chordata, Mammalia, Rodentia, Cricetidae.